This 419-nucleotide ribosomal RNA is filed under the name bacterium. Its description in RNAcentral is "partial 16S ribosomal RNA". It matches the Rfam family "Bacterial small subunit ribosomal RNA", at positions 355 to 776 of the family's 1533-position model. The record is from RNAcentral.
UGGGGGAUAUUGCACAAUGGGCGAAAGCCUGAUGCAGCGACGCCGCGUGGGGGAUGAAGGCCUUCGGGUUGUAAACUUCUUUUGCUCUGAACAAGGCGCACCAUGGGGUGUGUUGAGUGUAGGGGUUGAUUAGCGCCGGCUAACUACGUGCCAGCAGCCGCGGUAAUACGUAGGGCGCGAGCGUUGUCCGGAAUUAUUGGGCGUAAAGGGCUUGUAGGUGGCUGGUUGCGUCUGUCGUGAAAGCUCAUGGCUUAACUGUGGGUUUGCGGUGGGUACGGGCUGGCUUGAGUGCAGUAGGGGAGGCUGGAAUUCCUGGUGUAGCGGUGGAAUGCGCAGAUAUCAGGAGGAAUACCGGUGGCGAAGUCGGGUCUCUGGGCUGUUACUGACACUGAGGAGCGAAAGCAUGGGGAGCGAACAGG